AUUGAGUCCAUGGAGCGAGCUGAGAGCUAGAGAUCUAAAGCUUAAGGACUAUGGAGUGGAUCUCAUUGAAGUUUCAGACAAUGGAUGUGGGGUAGAAGAAGAAAACUUUGAAGGCUUAACGAUGUCACCAUUUCUACCUGCCACGCAUCGGCGAAGGUUGGGACUCGACUGGUGUUUGAUCACGAUGGGAAAAUCAUCCAGAAAACCCCCUACCCCCACCCCAGAGGGACCACAGUCAGCGUGAAGCAGUUAUUUUCUACACUACCUGUGCACCAUAAGGAAUUUCAAAGGAAUAUUAAGAAGACGUGCCUGUUUCCCCUUCGCCUUCUGCCGUGAUUGUCAGUUUCCUGAGGCCUCCCCAGCCAUGCUUCCUGUACAGCCUGCAGAACUGGACCAUUGCAAGCUGCAGAAAAUGAGAAGACCCUACUGACCAGCCCAAGAAGACAGAUGACAAGAUACUGAGGAUGGCCGUAUAAGAAAAUAAACAACUUGCUAAAACUGCUGAAACUCCCUCUGCUUGUGAGAUUUAAAAAAACUGGCUGAAAUUGGUUGGAACCAACAUGUCCAAUGGAGUCUGAAUAGAAAGAGCUUGCUGACAUCACAGCCCGAAUUUCCACCACAUUUCAUACUAACUCCCCCUGAAUUUGCAUAUGCAAACCACAAGCAAGCAUGAUCAAACAGACAACUGCGCGUGUCCGAGGACUUUCCAGAUCUCCCCUUUCCUUCCACCAAUCACUUACUAAUCUGAGAAUCCAUCCCCUAAUAAAAUCACUGCCUUAAAGCCUGCACAGGAAGACAAAUUUGA
Homo sapiens (human) is the source of this 805-nucleotide long non-coding RNA. Ensembl annotates it as PMS1 homolog 2, mismatch repair system component pseudogene 4. Its record names the gene PMS2P4. NCBI's taxonomy places the organism in Eukaryota, Metazoa, Chordata, Mammalia, Primates, Hominidae. The record is from Ensembl.